This 212-nucleotide non-coding RNA is filed under the name Erythranthe guttata (spotted monkey flower). RNAcentral describes it as "Mimulus guttatus (spotted monkey flower) Bacterial small subunit ribosomal RNA". It matches the Rfam family "Bacterial small subunit ribosomal RNA", at positions 939 to 1163 of the family's 1533-position model. The record is from Rfam by way of RNAcentral. Lineage: Eukaryota; Viridiplantae; Streptophyta; Magnoliopsida; Lamiales; Phrymaceae.
AUGUGGUUUAAUUGGAUGCAAAGCGGAGAACUUUAGCAGGGCUUGACAUGCCACCAAUCCUCUGGAAAGAGAGGGGUGUCUUUGGGAACGCGGACACAGGUUGUGCAUGGCUGUCGUUAGCUCGUGACGUAAGGUGUUGGGUUAAGGUUCUAUGUCGUAUAUAAGCAGUGAUUUCGAAUCCAUAGGUUAAUCGUACUCUGGCAACUUUACGU